Long non-coding RNA from Myotis myotis, 336 nucleotides. RefSeq lists it as uncharacterized. The record is from RefSeq and is a predicted model, not a curated record. Lineage: Eukaryota; Metazoa; Chordata; Mammalia; Chiroptera; Vespertilionidae. The transcript has 3 exons.
CUCACCCCAGUUCACCCAGGCACCACUGCUCCAAUUGUACAGAAUCCCUGAAGUUCAGAAAGCCUCACCCAGGGCCCCACAUGCUCUGUCCACGCUCAAGCUGGCCUGAGAGCCCCCGAGACUGAACUGAGAGCCCACAGAGGGAAGCUGCUGAAUGUUAGAAGGUUUGGACAUCUGGCUACCCAAGAAGGCAUGGACAGAGGUUAACAGCUUUCAGCCUCCAUAAUUUGAAGAACUGUUGAAUAAAUGAGGAAGGGAAAACUGAAGACACAAUCCACCAGAAAUCAAAAGAGCUCUCCAACUACAAAAGCAAGCAUGAGCUCAACCUUGGAACCU